Molecule: ribosomal RNA, 432 nt
Filed under: uncultured bacterium
Lineage: Bacteria
Description: bacterial SSU rRNA
Rfam family: Bacterial small subunit ribosomal RNA
Source: RNAcentral
GACGAACGCUGGCGGCAGGCCUAACACAUGCAAGUCGAGCGAGACCUUCGGGUCUAGCGGCGGACGGGUUAGUAACGCGUGGGAACGUGCCCUUCUCUGCGGAAUAGCCACUGGAAACGGUGAGUAAUACCGCAUACGCCCUUCGGGGGAAAGAUUUAUCGGAGAAGGAUCGGCCCGCGUUAGAUUAGAUAGUUGGUGGGUAACGGCCUACCAAGUCUACGAUCUAUAGCUGGUUUUAGAGGAUGAUCAGCAACACUGGGACUGAGACACGGCCCAGACUCCUACGGGAGGCAGCAGUGGGGAAUCUUAGACAAUGGGCGCAAGCCUGAUCUAGCCAUGCCGCGUGUGUGAUGAAGGUCUUAGGAUCGUAAAGCACUUUCGCCAGGGAUGAUAAUGACAGUACCUGGUAAAGAAACCCCGGCUAACUCCGUG